This 314-nucleotide long non-coding RNA is filed under the name Elaeis guineensis (African oil palm). Its description in RNAcentral is "long non-coding RNA (EGUI_LNC062014)". Lineage: Eukaryota; Viridiplantae; Streptophyta; Magnoliopsida; Arecales; Arecaceae. The record is from RNAcentral.
UCCCUCUUUGUCCAAAAGUUGGACAUGACUUUCUCUCUCUUUCUUUUGCCCAAGAGUUGGACAUGAUUUUUUCUCUAUAGAAGUCUAAGAGUUGGACAUGUCUUCGCCUCCAUAGAUGUCUAAGAGUUGGACAUGAUUUUUCCUUCAUGAUCAGAUGAAGAGUUAGAUGGGAAAAGAAAAGAAAAGAGAUGGGAUCUCUUAUUCUUCUUUUCUUUAGAUCUUCUUUUUUCUCUUGAAAAGAGAAAGGAAAAAAAAAUCAGAUUAGAUCUGAUUUUUUAAUCCUCCUAUGGAUCUCUUUGAUUCUCUUGAGAAGA